This 418-nucleotide ribosomal RNA is filed under the name bacterium. RNAcentral's name for it is "partial 16S ribosomal RNA". It matches the Rfam family "Bacterial small subunit ribosomal RNA", at positions 355 to 776 of the family's 1533-position model. The record is from RNAcentral.
UGGGGGAUAUUGCACAAUGGGCGAAAGCCUGAUGCAGCGACGCCGCGUGGGGGAUGAAGGCCUUCGGGUUGUAAACUUCUUUUGCUCUGAACAAGGCGCACCAUGGGGUGUGUUGAGUGUAGGGGUUGAUUAGCGCCGGCUAACUACGUGCCAGCAGCCGCGGUAAUACGUAGGGCGCGAGCGUUGUCCGGAAUUAUUGGGCGUAAAGGGCUUGUAGGUGGCUGGUUGCGUCUGUCGUGAAAGCUCAUGGCUUAACUGUGGGUUUGCGGUGGGUACGGGCUGGCUUGAGUGCAGUAGGGGAGGCUGGAAUUCCUGGUGUAGCGGUGGAAUGCGCAGAUAUCAGGAGGAAUACCGGUGGCGAAGGCGGGUCUCUGGGCUGUUACUGACACUGAGGAGCGAAAGCAUGGGAGCGAACAGG